RNAcentral lists this ribosomal RNA (406 nucleotides) under uncultured bacterium. Its description in RNAcentral is "partial 16S ribosomal RNA". It matches the Rfam family "Bacterial small subunit ribosomal RNA", at positions 30 to 526 of the family's 1533-position model. The record is from RNAcentral.
AUUGAACGCUGGCGGCAGGCCUAACACAUGCAAGUCGAGCGAGCGGGGGACGGGUGAGUAAUGUAUGGGGAUCUGCCCGAGAGAGGGGGAUAACGAAUGGAAAAGGUGGCUAAUACCGCAUACUAUCGGAGGAACCAAGUGGGGAUUAGCUAGUCGGUGGGGUAAAGGCUUACCUAGGCGACGAUCUCUAGCUGGUCUGAGAGGAUGAUCAUCCACACUGGUACGGAGAUACGGCCCAGACUCCGCCGGGAGGCAGCAGUGGGGAAUAUUGCCCAAUGGGCGCACGCCUGAUGCAGCCAUGCCGCGUGUAUGAAGAAUGCCUUAGGGUUGUAAAGUACUUUCAUCGGGGAGGCCUUACCCUCCUAAGCAUCACCGGCUAACUCCGUGCCAGCAGCCGCGGUAUUCC